AACGAACGCUGGCGGCAUGCCUAACACAUGCAAGUCGAACGUGAUCCAGGGCUUCGGCUCUGGUGAAAGUGGCGGACGGGUGAGUAACGCGUGGGAACCUGCCCAGUGGUAGGGGAUAACCGCGGGAAACUGCGGCUAAUACCCUAUGUGCCCUGCGGGGCAAAGAUUCAUCGCCAUUGGAGGGGCCCGCGUCGGAUUAGGUCGUUGGUGAGGUAACGGCUCACCAAGCCUGCGAUCCGUAGCUGGUCUGAGAGGAUGAUCAGCCACACUGGGACUGAGACACGGCCCAGACUCCUACGGGAGGCAGCAGCGGGGAGUAUUGGACAAUGGGGGCAACCCUGAUCCAGCAAUGCCGCGUGAGUGAUGAAGGCCUUAGGGUUGUAAAGCUCUUUCGGCGGGGAAGAUGACGACGGUACCCGCAGAAGAAGCCCCGGCUAACUUCGUGCCAGCAGCCGCGGUAAUACGAAGGGGGCUAGCGUUGUUCGGAAUUACUGGGCGUAAAGGGCGC
Molecule: ribosomal RNA, 508 nt
Filed under: uncultured bacterium
Lineage: Bacteria
Description: bacterial SSU rRNA
Rfam family: Bacterial small subunit ribosomal RNA
Source: RNAcentral